UACGUAGGGUGCAAGCGUUAAUCGGAAUUACUGGGCGUAAAGCGUGCGCAGGCGGUGAUGUAAGACAGAUGUGAAAUCCCCGGGCUCAACCUGGGAACUGCAUUUGUGACUGCAUCGCUAGAGUACGGCAGAGGGGGAUGGAAUUCCGCGUGUAGCAGUGAAAUGCGUAGAUAUUGGGAGGAACACCAGUGGCGAAGGCGGCUCACUGGACCGGUACUGACGCUGAUGCGCGAAAGCGUGGGGAGCAAACGGG
Molecule: ribosomal RNA, 253 nt
Filed under: uncultured prokaryote
Description: partial 16S ribosomal RNA
Rfam family: Bacterial small subunit ribosomal RNA
Source: RNAcentral